UGGGGAAUAUUGCACAAUGGGCGCAAGCCUGAUGCAGCCAUGCCGCGUGUAUGAAGAAGGCCUUCGGGUUGUAAAGUACUUUCAGCGAGGAGGAAGGCGUUGUGGUUAAUAACCGCAACGAUUGACGUUACUCGCAGAAGAAGCACCGGCUAACUCCGUGCCAGCAGCCGCGGUAAUACGGAGGGUGCAACCGUUAAUAGGAAUUACUGGGCGUAAAGCGCACGCAGGCGGUCUGUCAAGUCGGAUGUGAAAUCCCCGGGCUCAACCUGGGAACUGCAUCCGAAACUGGCAGGCUGGAGUCUUGUAGAGGGGGGUAGAAUUCCAGGUGUAGCGGUGAAAUGCGUAGAGAUCUGGAGGAAUACCGGUGGCGAAGGCGGCCCCCUGGACAAAGACUGACGCUCAGGUGCGAAAGCGUGGGGAGCAAACA
Molecule: ribosomal RNA, 427 nt
Filed under: uncultured bacterium
Lineage: Bacteria
Description: partial 16S ribosomal RNA
Rfam family: Bacterial small subunit ribosomal RNA
Source: RNAcentral